Molecule: ribosomal RNA, 465 nt
Filed under: uncultured bacterium
Lineage: Bacteria
Description: partial 16S ribosomal RNA
Rfam family: Bacterial small subunit ribosomal RNA
Source: RNAcentral
GACGAACGCUGGCGGCGUGCUUAACACAUGCAAGUCGAACGGAAAGGCCCUGCUUGCAGGGUACUCGAGUGGCGAACGGGUGAGUAACACGUGGGUGAUCUGCCCUGCACUUCGGGAUAAGCUUGGGAAACUGGGUCUAAUACCGGAUAGGAGCCAUCUUUAGUGUGGUGGUUGGAAAGUUUUUUCGGUGUAGGAUGAGCUCGCGGCCUAUCAGCUUGUUGGUGGGGUAAUGGCCUACCAAGGCGGCGACGGGUAGCCGGCCUGAGAGGGUGUACGGCCACAUUGGGACUGAGAUACGGCCCAGACUCCUACGGGAGGCAGCAGUGGGGAAGAUUGCACAAUGGGCGCAAGCCGGAUGCAGCGACGCCGCGUGGGGGAUGAAGGCCUUCGGGUUGUAAACUCCUUUCGCUAGGGACGAAGCUUUUUGUGACGGUACCUAGAUAAGAAGCACCGGCUAACUACGUG